GAAGGGACUUUUUGAGGUCACAUCUAGCACAACCCCCUGCCUGAAGCAGGAUCAGCCCUGUCCAAACCCUCCCAGACACAUCCAUCAUCUAAAUGCUGCAUAAAACUGCCAUCAACCCUAGCACAACACAAAAUAUCACACCCAAACCUGCCCCGGGGAAAGCAGGAGGACUGCGGCAGCCAACGUCCUGCUUCUGGUAAAGGUUGUUAAUAUACUCUCCAGAGAUCCCAGGUGGAGGCUAUGACCCUACUACAGA
Gavialis gangeticus (Gharial) is the source of this 256-nucleotide long non-coding RNA. RefSeq lists it as uncharacterized. The record is from RefSeq and is a predicted model, not a curated record. Lineage: Eukaryota; Metazoa; Chordata; Crocodylia; Gavialidae. The transcript has 3 exons.